Molecule: ribosomal RNA, 1364 nt
Filed under: Trigonopterus sp. 1 AH-2016
Lineage: Eukaryota; Metazoa; Arthropoda; Insecta; Coleoptera; Curculionidae
Description: 16S ribosomal RNA
Rfam family: Archaeal large subunit ribosomal RNA (bases 622-1364)
Source: RNAcentral
GCUUGAAAGUUUAUAGAUUAUUAUAAAAUUGUUUUUAUAAAAAUUUAUUUUUAAGAAUAUAGAUUUAAUUAUUUUUAAAGAAAAAAGUUUAUUGUAUUGAAAAUACAUAUAAUUAUAGAGGAUUAGUAUUGUAAGAGAAAUUUUUUUUUUAGUUUAGAAAAAGAAUAUUUUAUUUGUAGUACCUUGUGUGUCAGGGUUUAUUAAUUAGGGUUUAUUUAUUUAAAUUUCUCGAAUUUAAAGGAGCUAUAUAUUUAUGUAUUUCAGUAUAGAAAAAUUGUUUUUAAUAAAUAUAUAGAAAUGAAAUGUUACUCGAUUUUAAAUAUAUCUAGUUUUUUAAGAAAAAAAUUUAAUUUUAUUUUUAUCUAUCAUAUAUUGAUAUUUUUUUAUCUAAAUGAUAAUAAAAUUUUAUAUAGUAAGGGAAGAGCUUUAUUAUAAAAAUAUAAAAUUUAUUAAUAAAAAUUUUUAAAGUAGGAUUGAAAGUUUCUGUCUUUAAUGUGUGUUAUUACAAUUUAAAUUGAGUAAAAGAUUUUUAUUGAAUUUAUGUAUUCUAUUAAAAUUUAAUUUAAAAUAUAAAAAAUUUAGUAAUAAUGAUAGAAUUAGUAUAAUAAAAAGUUUAUUUAUAUUUAGUAGAAAGGUUUAAAAAAGGAAUUCGGCAAAAUAAUUUUUCACCUGUUUAAUAAAAACAUGGCUUGUUGUUUAUGAUUUCAAGUCUAACCUGCCCAAUGAAGAAUUUAAUGGCCGCGGUAUAUUGACCGUGCGAAGGUAGCAUAAUCAUUAGUUUUUUAAUUGUAAGCUUGUAUGAAAGGUUUGAUGAGAAAAAGACUGUCUCUUUUAAAAUUUAUUAAAAUUUUAUUUUUAAGUUAAAAAGCUUAAAUAUUCAUUGAAGACGAGAAGACCCUAUAGAGUUUAAUAUUUUCAGAAAAAGGGAAAUUUAGGAAAGGAAUAUUUUUUUUAUUUAGUAAAGUAUUUUGUUGGGGUGACAAAAAAAUUAGUCAAACUUAUUUUUAAAAUAAAUCAUUGAUUUAUGAGUGAAUGAGCCUAUUGUUUAGAUUAAAAGAAUAAACUACCUUAGGGAUAACAGCGUAAUUUUUUUUAGAGUUCUAAUCAAAAAAAAAGUUUGCGACCUCGAUGUUGGAUUAAAAUUUACUAUUGGUGAAGUAGCUGAUUGGUUAGGUCUGUUCGACCUUUAAAAUUUUACAUGAUCUGAGUUUAGACCGGUGUGAGCCAGGUUGGUUUCUAUCUCUAUGAAGAUAAAGUUUUUUAGUACGAAAGGACCACUAAUUUGAUUAAUAAUUUAUUUAAAGAAUAAUAUAAAAGGAGGUUAUUUUGGCAGAUUAGUGCUAUAGAUUUAGAAUCUAUAAAAG